GUUAUGAAAGGCGCUCGCUACAGCGCUUUUAGCGCGUAGCGAGGCGAUGCGAAGGGCUGACGCAACAGGAGCAGUGUGGCGAGGCGAUCCUGGUUAGCGCUCGCAACAGCCUGUGUUGCGAGAAGCGAGGUGAGGCGAGAGGCGCAGGGAGGCGACGCUAUUUUGACAGUGCUGGCUAAUUAAAACACAUCAGCAGCUUUAGUGCUUUACAAAUUACAAAAACACAAAAACUAGGGUUUUCACUCUACAAAGGAAAAGCAGUCGACCAGCAAAAAACACAGCAGCAGCCAGCAAAUCAUCUUCAUCUUGCUUCUUCUCCAGGUAUGUUCAUCUUCUUUCUUCUUUCUUCUUUCUUCCUUCUUCCUUCUUCCUUCUUCUCUCUUUCUUUUUUCUUCUUUUUCCCUUCUUCUUCCAGUGGACCAGUCGACAAUUUUUUUUUUCAGUCAAAAAACAGAGCCCUCUGUUUUUUUCGACCAGUACCAGUGAACAGUAAAAAAUAUUCACUCCAGUCCCACUGUUUUUUUUUUCCAUACCUGUGAACAGUAAAAAAGAGUCAGUCAUGCUGUUAAAUUACUACCUGGAAGCUCUCAAUCUCGUUUUUGGGUCCAGCAUGCUGUUAUACAUUUGGAAACGUAAAAGCCAUUCACGUUUUUUAAAGCUCAAAUGCAACAGUGAGCUUCUUGAGACAAGGAUCAUUUGUCUUGGGAAAUACCAGUCAAAAUUGGUAUUACCAAUUGAAUUAAAUAUGCCUUGUUUCUUGGCCUGAAGGAGCCACUUUAUGAGCAGAAGUUGCACGUCCAGUUGCUUAAAUUAACCUGCACAGACAAAACAACAAAAAAUUAAUCCGCAAUUCUGCUGAGUUGCUUAAAUUUAUUUGAUUUAUUGCUCUAUUUUUCUAUAAAACAACGCUGAAAAUUGAGUNNN
This 924-nucleotide long non-coding RNA is filed under the name Nicotiana benthamiana. RNAcentral describes it as "long non-coding RNA (NBEN_LNC039629)". Lineage: Eukaryota; Viridiplantae; Streptophyta; Magnoliopsida; Solanales; Solanaceae. The record is from RNAcentral.